ACAGAUUGUACCAUCAAAACAUCUCAAUGAACGUAAUGCAGAUGCAACUGCUGCGAGACAUUACAGUAAGUGGGGAGGUAACACGUGCUGACAAUACACUUAAAAAGCUAAUUUUCUUUCUAGAGAGAGAUAAGCCAUUCCAGAUUUCCUUAAUUUCUCAGCCAGCUUCAAGUAUAACACACUCAGUGUACGGCCUAUUCCUGCAAAGUCAUCUGUCUGCAAAAACCACAGCUUCUGCCAGAGGAGAACGCUCAGUGGGAAGUUGAGGUCACAUCAGUACCUCUUUCCAUCAUUACAGAUAUUCUACUAUGAAGACUUCAGCAUCCACAAAGGUAACUCUUGUUACUUUUUUUAUUCUUUCUUUUCUAUGUGGAUGCUGGUACACAGGUCUCAAAGAAAUGACACUUCAUAUAAAAAACAAGAUAUAAAGAUUCUGUUAUCAGCAUUAGCUCUCUGUGUAGUGCUUUCUGGGGUUCUGUGAUGGCAGAAGAUUGAAUUUCCAUGACAACAUUACAAAAUAUAUUCCUUUUUGGUUCGUUUAAGUUGGUACUCUUUGCCGAACCCAGCAGGUGAUGCUGGCAACUGUGAAGCUCAAUGCAUACUGAAGUCAAAUGAGAUCUUAACUGCAUGAAGAUUUAGGAUGAGAUUCUUAAAUGGCUUUCAGGGUUGCAAUGAGCACUAACCAAGAAAUCUGUAGCUCUCUCCUGGUUUAUAACUCAGUCAAAUAUAAGGGAUAAAAAUACAAGAUAGCAUGAUUUCUUUUAGUAAUCAUAACGAUUUCUGGCACGUAUCUGUGGCUGAAGAUACCACCUAUGGCUCUAUUCUCGUUUCAAGGCUGUUACAAAUAUUCAGUUACAAAUUAAUUACAAGUAUUUUGGUAUAAAGGUCUUUUUGGAGGAAGAAUAUCUGAGUCUGUUUGAGCUUUGAGUCUAACUCUAACGUGCUAUGUAAUUUUAGCACCUUAUUUUCCUACUACCUGUUUUUCACUGUAGGCUUGUCCUGUGAGACCCAAUCCUUUAAAAUUCUUGAAUAAAUCUACUUUUAAUUCAAAAGACGAAAACUAA
RNAcentral lists this long non-coding RNA (1064 nucleotides) under Numida meleagris (helmeted guineafowl). RNAcentral describes it as "lncRNA (ENSNMEG00000014051.1)". The record is from RNAcentral. Lineage: Eukaryota; Metazoa; Chordata; Aves; Galliformes; Numididae.